AUUGAACGCUGGCGGCAUGCCUUACACAUGCAAGUCGAACGGUAACAGGUCUUCGGAUGCUGACGAGUGGCGAACGGGUGAGUAAUACAUCGGAACGUGCCUAGUAGUGGGGGAUAACUACUCGAAAGAGUGGCUAAUACCGCAUGAGAUCUACGGAUGAAAGCAGGGGAUCGCAAGACCUUGUGCUACUACAGCGGCCGAUGGCAGAUUAGGUAGUUGGUGGGAUAAAAGCUUACCAAGCCGACGAUCUGUAGCUGGUCUGAGAGGACGAUCAGCCACACUGGGACUGAGACACGGCCCAGACUCCUACGGGAGGCAGCAGUGGGGAAUUUUGGACAAUGGGCGCAAGCUUGAUCCAGCAAUGCCGCGUGCAGGAUGAAGGCCUUCGGGUUGUAAACUGCUUUUGUACGGAACGAAAAGCCCCGGGUUAAUACCCUGGGGUCAUGACGGUACCGUAAGAAUAAGCACCGGCUAACUACGUGCCAGCCGCCGCCGUAA
RNAcentral lists this ribosomal RNA (498 nucleotides) under uncultured bacterium. RNAcentral describes it as "partial 16S ribosomal RNA". It matches the Rfam family "Bacterial small subunit ribosomal RNA", at positions 30 to 523 of the family's 1533-position model. The record is from RNAcentral.